UUACGGUCAUAUCAUGUUGAAACUUUGGUUCCCAUAUGAUCACCAAAUUAAGCAACACUGAAUCUGGUCAGUACCUAGAUGGGUGACUACUUGGGAAUACCAAGUGCUGUCAG
Non-coding RNA from Acanthosepion pharaonis, 113 nucleotides. The record is from the annotation of a GenBank genome assembly. Lineage: Eukaryota; Metazoa; Mollusca; Cephalopoda; Sepiida; Sepiidae.